This 360-nucleotide ribosomal RNA is filed under the name uncultured bacterium. Its description in RNAcentral is "bacterial SSU rRNA". It matches the Rfam family "Bacterial small subunit ribosomal RNA", at positions 78 to 422 of the family's 1533-position model. The record is from RNAcentral.
CUUCGGCCUCGAGUAAAGUGGCGGACGGGUGAGUAACACGUGGGUAAUCUGCCUUUCAGUGGGGGAUAACUGUCCGAAAGGAUAGCUAAUACCGCAUACGUCGCCUGGGGUUUCGAUCCUGGGUGGGAAAGCCGACCUCUCCAUGGAAGUUGGCGCUGAAAGAGGAGCCCGCGGCCCAUCAGCUAGUUGGUAGGGUAAUGGCCUACCAAGGCUUAGACGGGUAGCUGGUCUGAGAGGAUGAUCAGCCACACUGGGACUGAGACACGGCCCAGACUCCUACGGGAGGCAGCAGUGGGGAAUAUUGGGCAAUGGGCGCAAGCCUGACCCAGCCACGCCGCGUGAGUGAUGAAGGCCUUCGGG